RNAcentral lists this ribosomal RNA (253 nucleotides) under uncultured bacterium. Its description in RNAcentral is "partial 16S ribosomal RNA". It matches the Rfam family "Bacterial small subunit ribosomal RNA", at positions 524 to 776 of the family's 1533-position model. The record is from RNAcentral.
UACAGAGGGGGCGAGCGUUGUUCGGAAUUACUGGGCGUAAAGCGUGCGUAGGCGGCCUUCUAAGUCAGACGUGAAAUCCCUCGGCUCAACCGAGGAACUGCGUCUGAUACUGGUUGGCUUGAAUUCGGGAGAGGGAUGCGGAAUUCCAGGUGUAGCGGUGAAAUGCGUAGAUAUCUGGAGGAACACCGGUGGCGAAGGCGGCAUCCUGGACCGAGAUUGACGCUGAUGCGCGAAAGCCAGGGGAGCAAACGGG